CCACUGCAUUCCAGUCUGACCAACAGGGCAAGACCCUGUCUCUAAAAAGAAAAAAACAUGCAGAUUUUUACAUGAAUAUGGGAGUAAUCUUCAUAGAAAAAUAAAGACCCAAGGCAGCAGUUAGAGUCUAAUAGAGUGCCUAUGUAUCAAGUUGGACAAAGCAAUACAUUGUGAAAAUGUGACAAGCCAAAGGGGAAUGGGCUAGGCGAGUUAGUCAUGAAGAAAUGACUAAGAAGAUAGGGGUUAAUUUAGCAAGAUUUAUACAGAUUUUCCUCGGCCUGAGCUUCUCGUUUUUCUUGUCUUUGGUGAUAAAAAUUAUACUUCCCUUCUGGUACAGGGAGGGCAUCUUUCACAUGGGUGUUUCAUCUAGUGCUUUCAGGAAGGAAAAGGAAAGUCAGAGUGUCCUUUUUGCAUCUGCUGUUUUUCAAGUGCUUUUAACUCAAAAUAGUCAAUAUACCAAGUGGCAUCCUUUGGGAUGGCAUGCUCUGAAUUCCUUCAGCCACUAACAACACAAGUUUGAAAUCCAGUUUUCCUUCCCCCUCUAUAAUGAAACGGCUUUCUUUUGUGGAGCACGUUCUCUUCAGAGUAUCACUUAAGAUACUUUGGUCAAAGUUUAAGCUCUGAUUUAUGAUCAUGAUUCCCUUUGUCGGUUUGUGUUGUGUCUGUCAGUAGACUUGGCCUCCGCCUCCCGGAUCACCUUCUCCUUACAUGGAACGUGGAAUUCAACUUAGGGUGGAAGCAAGAAGCAUUAAACCAUCUGUUGAAAAUCUGAAACAAUCUGGAAGUUAAAACAAACUAGCUGCGAAGGAGGUACGGAAGAAGAUCAUGGAAAGUUGGACAGAGCACAGACGAGUGCAGUAAAGAAUGAAAACCUGUAUUCACAAACCAUAUGGAUCUAGGAGUAAAAAUGGUUGGAGUUUCGUGUGAUCAUGGCUCACUGGAGCCUCACAUUCCUGGGCUCCAGCCUGACUCAGCCUCCAAAAUAGAUGGGACUACAGGCAUAUAUCACCACCAUGCCUAGGUAACUUUUUUUAACUUUUAUUUUGUAGAGACAGAGUCUUGCUAUGUUGCCCAGGCUUGUCUUGAACUCCUGGCUUCAAGUGAUCCUCCCACCUCAGCCUCUCAAAGUGCUGACAUUACAGGCAUGAGCCACAGCACCCAGCCAUAAAUAUCUUUUAUGAAGUGCACAAAAUAUUUGUAGAGCACACUGAGGUAAAUCUGGAAAAGAUUUGAAGGCAUUUAUGUAGUGUUUGGUGACAUAUAAUUAUAAAAACUAAAAUGUAAAAGUUUAAAUGUAGAUUUUACCA
This is a long non-coding RNA of Callithrix jacchus (white-tufted-ear marmoset), 1307 nucleotides long. RefSeq lists it as uncharacterized. The record is from RefSeq and is a predicted model, not a curated record. Lineage: Eukaryota; Metazoa; Chordata; Mammalia; Primates; Cebidae.